RNAcentral lists this ribosomal RNA (517 nucleotides) under uncultured Chloroflexota bacterium. Its description in RNAcentral is "bacterial SSU rRNA". It matches the Rfam family "Bacterial small subunit ribosomal RNA", at positions 364 to 896 of the family's 1533-position model. The record is from RNAcentral. Lineage: Bacteria; Bacillati; Chloroflexota.
UUGCACAAUGGGCGAAAGUCUGAUGCAGCAACGCCGCGUGCGCGAUGAAGGCCUUCGGGUCGUAAAGCGCUUUUCUGAGGGAAGAGAAAGGACUGUACCUCAGGAAUAAGUCUCGGCUAACUACGUGCCAGCAGCCGCGGUAAUACGUAGGAGGCAAGCGUUAUCCGGAUUUACUGGGCGUAAAGCGCGUGCAGGCGGUUUGGUAAGUUGGAUGUGAAAUCUCCUGGCUCAACCGGGAGGGGUCGUUCAAAACUGCCAGACUAGAGGACGGUAGAGGAGAGUGGAAUUCCCGGUGUAGUGGUGAAAUGCGUAGAUAUCGGGAGGAACACCAGUGGCGAAAGCGGCUCUCUGGGCCGUUCCUGACGCUAAGACGCGAAAGCGUGGGUAGCGAACGGGAUUAGAAACCCCGGUAGUCCACGCUGUAAACGAUGCGAACUUGGUGUUGGUGGCGUAAAAACCUUCAGUGCCGAAGCAAACGCGAUAAGUUCGCCGCCUGGGGACUACGAUCGCAAGAUUA